RNAcentral lists this long non-coding RNA (1189 nucleotides) under Macaca nemestrina (pig-tailed macaque). Its description in RNAcentral is "lncRNA (ENSMNEG00000045585.1)". Lineage: Eukaryota; Metazoa; Chordata; Mammalia; Primates; Cercopithecidae. The record is from RNAcentral.
AUGGGGCAGGAAAUAGAAGGGAAGGAGAAGGUCAGAGACGCUUUGCUUGUGAGGCCCUUAAUGGCCCCAGACCCAAGUACUCAGCACGCCAAGGUCACAUGUGGAGCCCUAGCAGCAAGCAGGAGGCACUCGGUGCCUGACGGAAUCGACACGCAAUCCUCCCCCAACAGAGACAACACCCCAGGCCUGAAAGCAGCUCCGUGUCCAGCCAUGAAACAUAAACAGGCAACAUGGAGGGAGAAGACAGCGAGGGUGAGGGUCAGCAGGAGCCACUGGCAGCAGGAACUCCGGGUGCUGGAAUUCCCAGACGAUAAACCAGCUGUGCUCGCUAUGUUUUUGGAAACAAAAGAGGCCCAGACGAAGUCGCACCUCGACAGGCGUCUCCAUGGCCACUGAGGCGAAAGAAGGAGCUCCACGGGAAGACUCAGCCCUGCCGUCUGCCCAGAGGGGAGCCGAAGGUAUCUGGUGAACAACACUGAGGCACACCACAUCCAGGCACCUGCGAGGUACUUGGAAGCCUGCCCUUCCUGCAAGCAAAGCACACCCGCUUCCUCCAAGGCAACCAUCCCGGCGUCCUCCAGCUACAUGAAGGUCAAACGUACACAAGUUGCCGCAUCCAUCCCAAGCUGGAGGGCUCUGAGUUAAAAAGAUGAAGGGUUUGCUGCCCACGCCCCCGGUAUUCAACCAAGGAGCAGGGACAGGGGCUUCCAGGGUCUGGUUUGGAAGGGGAAGAAGGCAGACCCCAGCAGUCAGGCUCUGCAGUGGCUCCAAAGUCCCAUCGGGUGGCUGGGGGAGGACCCCAACCCCGGGGAGCAAUUUCCUGGAAGAGAUGUGGGCUGUGGUCGGUGGAGGGGACACCUCCCAUCCCCACGGUCCUCUGUGGCCCCACCAGCGUGGGUGCUGGAGAGCCGAGUGGCUUCCUCAGCUCCCUUCUUGCCUGUAGAGACGUGGGGAGCCCAAGGGCUACUUUGAGUCUCAGGCUGUCACAGUCUUUGGAUCCAGCCUGUGUUUUUAGGACAGUGCAACUCUUUCAAAUCUUUGAUCAACUUUCUUUUUCUUUUUCUUUUUUUUGAGGCAGGUGUCGCAGGCGUCCUUGUGAAGAGACCACCAACCAGGCUUUGUGUGAUCAAUAAAACUUUUUAAUCACCUGGGUGCAGGCGGGCUGAGUUCGAAAAAUGAGUCAGCAAAG